This 208-nucleotide long non-coding RNA is filed under the name Mytilus galloprovincialis (Mediterranean mussel). Lineage: Eukaryota; Metazoa; Mollusca; Bivalvia; Mytilida; Mytilidae. The record is from RNAcentral.
CCCAACUUUCCUUUUGUGGUUAUAAACCUUGUGUUAAAAUUUCAUAGAUUUCUAUUCACUUUUACUAAAGUUAGAGUGCGAAAACUAAAAGUAUUCGGACGACGACGACGCAAGACGACGCAGGACGACGACGACGCCAACGUGAUAGCAAUAUACGACGAAAAAUUAAAAUUUUUGCGGUCGUAUAAAAAGAGCUGUAUGAAAUGAA